CUCUUACUUGAUUUCAAACAAACUUGCUCGAUUUCAAAACUUGUUGCAGAUUUUGAAAGCCACCAGAUUUGCGCUUAUCUUCCGAUUUUGGUUCUCCUCUCUUUCGAUUUUAUCAUAUAUUGGAACUGAUACAUUGGAACUGAGUUUCGAUUUUGAAGAUUUUGCUCAAUCGGUCACUCAGAUUUAUGUGGAGCAAAGCCUUGCAAUCAGCAAUUGUAAGUGAGGAAUGCUGAUGGUGGAUAUGAUGGAGGGGAAGCUUUAGAGAUUACUGUGUAUGAUUAUUUUACCAAACACCAUAACAUUGAACUUACUUAUUCCACAUUCAUGCCAUAUAUUGAUGUUGGAAACCAAAACCGCCCAAUUAUCUUCCGCUAGAGCUUUGUACCCUUGUAUUUCUUUAAUGUUAUACGAAGGCUUUAUCUUCAAUACAGAGAGCAUCUUUAGUUGAAAAGUCGAGGCAAACGCCACAAGAACGAAUACGAGUUGUGACUGAUGCUUUGAAAACCUACUGUUAUGAUGAUGACCCUCUCUUUGUUGCUUGUGGCAUUUCAAUUGAGAAACAGCUCACCCAGGUUGAUGGCCGUGUCCUUGAAGUACCAAAGG
Camellia sinensis is the source of this 603-nucleotide non-coding RNA. NCBI's taxonomy places the organism in Eukaryota, Viridiplantae, Streptophyta, Magnoliopsida, Ericales, Theaceae. The record is from RefSeq and is a predicted model, not a curated record.